GUGAAGAAGAAGUCAGAGAAGAUGACAUCACAGAUGACAUCACAUACAGUGACCUCAAAAUAUUACCUCAGCAGCAGCAGCCAAUCAGACGGAGCAGAGAGAGCGAUCCGGCUGCAGUCUACUCAGCUGUGAGAACAGACCACGUCACUUAUGGACGGAUAUUCAUCACAGACACCAGAUCACAGACCAGAGAGAGAGAUCCGGGCGACUCAGCAGAGAGAACCACGGACGCCAGCUGUGGACAAAGAGGCAACAGACCAAACAGGACCAGAGCGUGUCCAGCAGAGCCGGAGGUCGUCUACUCUCCAGUGAAGAAGACCAUCACACCUUCACACCUGUCCCACCCGUCCCACCUGUCCCACUGCUGACGUCCUGCUGACGUCCUGUAGCUGCUCACACCAGAGUACAUUCAGUGUUUAUAUAUUCUUUACAUGUUGUGUGUCUCGUUCUCACUGAACUGAACUUCUGCAGCCACAGAAAAUCAAACAGGUCCAAUUCAGAGGAAAUUUUAUAUUUUUUUAAAAGUGUGAUUGAUUUUCAGUGCAAAAUACUGUGAAAAACUAAAACUCAGUAUUAAAACAACAGAUUGACUAUUUGCACCCGGGUGAAAAUAGUCACAUGGCAGCUACUUGGCUACUUACACCUGUGUGGAACGUCCACUGGCUCCUUAAGAACAUUCAGCUGCUUCAGGUGAAGAAGUAUGAAGAGGUUCAACAUCAGUUUGAUUUUCCUCCAGCCACAUUAUCAUUGUUAUUAUUAUUAUUAUUGUUAUUGUUAUUGUUAUUAUUAUUAUUAU
This is a long non-coding RNA of Seriola dumerili (greater amberjack), 796 nucleotides long. RefSeq lists it as uncharacterized. The transcript has 4 exons. The record is from RefSeq and is a predicted model, not a curated record. NCBI's taxonomy places the organism in Eukaryota, Metazoa, Chordata, Actinopteri, Carangiformes, Carangidae.